Molecule: ribosomal RNA, 992 nt
Filed under: Ericboehmia thailandica
Lineage: Eukaryota; Fungi; Ascomycota; Dothideomycetes; Hysteriales; Hysteriaceae
Description: Hysterium thailandica partial small subunit ribosomal RNA
Rfam family: Eukaryotic small subunit ribosomal RNA
Source: RNAcentral
UGGUCUAGGUAUAGCAUUAUACCGUGAAACUGCGAAUGGCUCAUUAAAUCAGUUAUCGUUUAUUUGAUAGUACUUUACUACUUGGAUAACCGUGGUAAUUCUAGAGCUAAUACAUGCUAAAAACCCCGACUUCGGGAGGGGUGUAUUUAUUAGAUAAAAAACCAACGCCCUCACGGGCUCCUUGGUGAUUCAUGAUAACUUAACGGAUCGCAUGGCCUUGCGCCGGCGACGGUUCAUUCAAAUUUCUGCCCUAUCAACUUUCGAUUGUAGGGUAUUGGCCUACAAUGGUAUUAACGGGUAACGGGGAGUUAGGGCUCGACUCCGGAGAGGGAGCCUGAGAAACGGCUACCACAUCCAAGGAAGGCAGCAGGCGCGCAAAUUACCCAAUCCCGACACGGGGAGGUAGUGACAAUAAAUACUGAUACGGGGCUCUUAUGGGUCUCGUAAUUGGAAUGAGUACAAUUUAAAUACCUUAACGAGGAACAAUUGGAGGGCAAGUCUGGUGGAAACGCGGUGUUUUCCAGAAACGCUGACGCCAGACAGAGUGGGGGGGCUCCCUUUUCCCAAGAGAGCCGCCCCCGCUAGUCGAGCACCUGCAAGCUUGGUAGGGAGGUGCCGGCGAGGUAACCUGGUACGGGGGAGUCUUGCACUGACGAUCCCGUGGUGAGCUCCUUGAGGGCCACCGUAACGCGCGCAAAGGUACCGGCCAGAGGUUUCUGGCUCGAGGGACGCGCUCUUUCCCGUGCGAAAGCACGUCCCCCCGCGAAGCACCUACCUUGCAACGUGUGGGGAGCGCCCAAAGGGGUGUCGGAAGGCCCGUACGCGCGCGGCGUCGGGGGUGGUGGGUGCCCCUCCGCGCGGGCGUACGGCCCUGAACGAGGCCAGCAGCCGCGGUAAUUCCAGCUCCAAUAGCGUAUAUUAAAGUUGUUGCAGUUAAAAAGCUCGUAGUUGAACCUUUGGUCUGGCUGGCCGGUCCGCCUCACCGCGUGCAC